This 59-nucleotide transfer RNA is filed under the name Dilophotes sp. C LB-2014. RNAcentral's name for it is "partial tRNA-Ser". The record is from RNAcentral. Lineage: Eukaryota; Metazoa; Arthropoda; Insecta; Coleoptera; Lycidae.
AAAGAAAUACAAUUAAAAGCUUCUAACUUUUUAAAGAGCAGUCAAUGUUCAUAUUUCUA